UCCCGUUUAUCCUGCGGGAGAUUGCUGCCAUUGGGAUUCGACUAAGCCAUGCAAGUACUCCAGCAAUGGAUGCGAAAGGCUCAGUAACACGUCGGUAACCUGCCCUAUGGUCAGGCAUAGCUUCGCGAAAGUGAGAGUAACACCUGAUAGGGAACAAGUCCUGGAAUGGACUCUUCCUUAAACUCGUGCCGUAGGAUGGGCCGGCGGCGGAUUAGGUUGUUGGCGGUGUAAUGGACCACCAAGCCGAAGAUCCGUACGGGCCAUGAGAGUGGUAGCCCGGAGAGGGACACUGAGAUACUGGUCCCAGCCCCACGGGGUGCAGCAGGCGCGAAACCUUUCCAAUGCACGAAAGUGUGAGAAGGGGAUCCCAAGUGCUCAACAAUGUUGGGCUUUUGCCAAGUGUAAAUAGCUUGGCGAAUAAGGGGUGGGCAAGACUGGUGCCAGCCGCCGCGGUAACCCCAGCGCCCCGAGUAGGAAUCACGAUUAUUGGGUCUAAAGCGUUCGUAGCAGGUUCUGUGAAUCCUUUGUGAAAUCGGCAGGCUUAACUUGUCGGCGUGCAGGGGACACUGCAGGACUCGAGACCGGGAGAGGCUAAAAGUAUUCCUUGGGUACCGGUAAAAUGGGUUAAUCCAAGGAGGACUACCAAUGGCGAAGGCAUUUGGCCAGAACGGUUCUGACUGUGAGGAACGAAAGCUAGGGGAGCAAAACGGAUUAGAUACCCGAGUAGUCCUAGCCGUAAACGCUGUGAGCAAGGUAUUGCGCACCCCACGAGGAUGCGCAGUGUCGAAGAGAAGUCGCUAAGCUCACCACAGGGAAGUACGGUCGCAAGGCUGAAACUUUAAGGAAUUGGCGGGGGAGCACCACAAGGGGUGCGGCGUGCGGUUCAAUCUAACUCAACGCAGAGAACCUCACUAGAGCCGACGGCAGAAUGAAGGUCAUGCUGAAGACAUUACCUGACAAGCCGAGAGGUAGUGCAUGGCCGUCGUCAGCUCGUGCUGUGAAGUGUCCAGUUAAGUCUGGCAACGAGCGAGACCUGUACCCUCUAUUGCUAACAACACCUUCGGGUGGAUUGAGCACUUUGAGGGGACUGCCCUGGAAACAGGGAGGAAGGUGCAGGCUACGGUAGGUCUGUAUGCUCCGAAUGCUCUAGGCUACACGCGAAACAAUGAUAGGGACAAUGGGAUGCCACUCCGAGAGGAGGAGCUAAACCUCUAAACCCUAUCCUAGUUCAGAUCGAGGCUUGUAACCCAGCCUCGUGACGCUGGUAUCCCUAGUAAUCGGAUAUCAUCAUUGUCCGGUGAAUAUGUCCCUGCUCCUUGCACACACCGCCCGUCAAACCAACCGAGCAGGGCUUAGGUAAAAUCCAACUUUAUUGGUUGUAUUGAACCUAAGUUCAGUGAGGUGGGUUAAGUCGUCACAAGGUC
This 1424-nucleotide ribosomal RNA is filed under the name metagenome. RNAcentral's name for it is "bacterial SSU rRNA". It matches the Rfam family "Archaeal small subunit ribosomal RNA". The record is from RNAcentral.